ACGCUCGACACCUACGGGAGCAGCAGUGGGGGAUAUUGCACAAUGGGGGAAACCCUGAUGCAGCAACGCCGCGUGAAGGAAGAAGGUCUUCGGAUUGUAAACUUCUGUCCUCAGGGAAGAUAAUGACGGUACCUGAGGAGGAAGCUCCGGCUAACUACGUGUCAGCAGCCGCGGUAAUCUGAGCGGGCUGGCAAGGC
This 197-nucleotide ribosomal RNA is filed under the name uncultured bacterium. Its description in RNAcentral is "partial 16S ribosomal RNA". It matches the Rfam family "Bacterial small subunit ribosomal RNA", at positions 328 to 539 of the family's 1533-position model. The record is from RNAcentral.